RNAcentral lists this ribosomal RNA (1088 nucleotides) under Apilactobacillus kunkeei. RNAcentral's name for it is "bacterial SSU rRNA". It matches the Rfam family "Bacterial small subunit ribosomal RNA", at positions 356 to 1437 of the family's 1533-position model. The record is from RNAcentral. Lineage: Bacteria; Bacillati; Bacillota; Bacilli; Lactobacillales; Lactobacillaceae.
GGGGAUUUUUCCCCAAUGGCAGAAAGUCUGAUGGAGCAACGCCGCGUGAGUGAUGAAGGUUUUCGGAUCGUAAAACUCUGUUGUUAAAGAAGAACAAGUGUUAGAGUAACUGUUAACACUUUGACGGUAUUUACCCAGAAAGCCACGGCUAAUUACGUGCCAGCAGCCGCGGUAAUACGUAGGUGGCAAGCGUUGUCCGGAUUUAUUGGGCGUAAAGCGAGCGCAGGCGGUUUUGUAAGUCUGCUGUGAAAGCCCUCAGCUCAACUGAGGAAGUGCAGUGGAAACUACAAAACUUGAGUACAGAAGAGGAAAGUGGAACUCCAUGUGUAGCGGUGAAAUGCGUAGAUAUAUGGAAGAACACCAGUGGCGAAGGCGGCUUUCUGGUCUGUUACUGACGCUGAGGCUCGAAAGCAUGGGUAGCGAACAGGAUUAGAUACCCUGGUAGUCCAUGCCGUAAACGAUGAAUACUAGGUGUUGGAGGGUUUCCGCCCUUCAGUGCCGCAGCUAACGCAUUAAGUAUUCCGCCUGGGGAGUACGACCGCAAGGUUGAAACUCAAAGGAAUUGACGGGGGCCCGCACAAGUGGUGGAGCAUGUGGUUUAAUUCGAUGCUACGCGAAGAACCUUACCAGCUCUUGACAUCUUCUGCCAACCCAAGAGAUUGGGCGUUCCCUUCGGGGACAGAAUGACAGGUGGUGCAUGGUUGUCGUCAGCUCGUGUCGUGAGAUGUUGGGUUAAGUCCCGCAACGAGCGCAACCCUUAUUAUUAGUUGCCAGCAUUUAGUUGGGCACUCUAGUGAGACUGCCGGUGAUAAACCGGAGGAAGGUGGGGACGACGUCAAAUCAUCAUGCCCCUUAUGAGCUGGGCUACACACGUGCUACAAUGGAUGGUACAACGAGUCGCGAAACCGCGAGGUCAAGCUAAUCUCUUAAAGCCAUUCUCAGUUCGGAUUGCAGGCUGCAACUCGCCUGCAUGAAGUUGGAAUCACUAGUAAUCGUGGAUCAGCAUGCCACGGUGAAUACGUUCCCGGGCCUUGUACACACCGCCCGUCACACCAUGAGAGUUUGUAACACCCAAAGACGAUGGGGUA